Molecule: non-coding RNA, 29 nt
Filed under: Rattus norvegicus (Norway rat)
Lineage: Eukaryota; Metazoa; Chordata; Mammalia; Rodentia; Muridae
Source: RNAcentral
UGAAAAGGGUCAUUUCAAAAUGAAGAAAC